GUAGGUGGGCAAGCGUUGUCCGGAAUUAUUGGGCGUAAAGCGCGCGCAGGGGUGGUUCUUUAAGUCUGAUGUGAAAGCCCCCGGGCUCAACCGGGGAGGGUCAUUGGAAACUGGGGAACUUGAGUGCAGGAGAGGAAAGUGGAAUUCCACGUGUAGCGGUGAAAUGCGUAGAUAUGUGGAGGAACACCAGUGGCGAAGGCGACUUUCUGGCCUGUAACUGACACUGAGGCGCGAAAGCGUGGGGAGCAAACAGGAUUAGAUACCCUGGUAGUCCACGCCGUAAACGAUGAGUGCUAAGUGUUGGGGGGUUUCCGCCCCUCAGUGCUGCAGCUAACGCAUUAAGCACUCCGCCUGGGGAGUACGGUCGCAAGACUG
RNAcentral lists this ribosomal RNA (375 nucleotides) under uncultured organism. Its description in RNAcentral is "partial 16S ribosomal RNA". It matches the Rfam family "Bacterial small subunit ribosomal RNA", at positions 526 to 896 of the family's 1533-position model. The record is from RNAcentral.